Molecule: ribosomal RNA, 254 nt
Filed under: uncultured bacterium
Lineage: Bacteria
Description: partial 16S ribosomal RNA
Rfam family: Bacterial small subunit ribosomal RNA
Source: RNAcentral
UACGGGGGGGGGCGAGCGUUGUUCGGAAUUAUUGGGCGUAAAGGGCGCGUAGGCGGUGUGGUAAGUCUGGUGUGAAACCUCUAGGCUCAACUUAGAGCUGGCAUCAGAUACUGCCGUGCUAGAGUGUGGGAGAGGAGAGUGGAAUUCCCGGUGUAGCGGUGAAAUGCGUAGAUAUCGGGAGGAACAUCGGUGGCGAAGGCGGCUCUCUGGACCACAACUGACGCUGAGGCGCGAAAGCUAGGGGAGCAAACAGG